AUUGAACGCUGGCGGCAGGCUUAACACAUGCAAGUCGAACGGUAACAUAAGAAAAGCUUGCUUUUUUUGAUGACGAGUGGCGGACGGGUGAGUAAUGCUUGGGAAUCUGCCUUAUGGAGGGGGAUAACUACGGGAAACUGUAGCUAAUACCGCAUAAUAUCUACGGAUUAAAGUGUGGGAUCUUCGGACCACAUACCAUAAGAUGAGCCCAAGUGAGAUUAGGUAGUUGGUGAGGUAAAGGCUCACCAAGCUGACGAUCUCUAGCUGGUUUGAGAGGAUGACCAGCCACACUGGGACUGAGACACGGCCCAGACUCCUACGGGAGGCAGCAGUGGGGAAUAUUGCACAAUGGGCGCAAGCCUGAUGCAGCCAUGUCGCGUGAAUGAAGAAGGCUUUCGGGUUGUAAAGUUCUUUCAUUAGUGAGAAAGGUAUAAAUGUUAAUAGCAUUUGUAAUUGAUGUUAGCUAAAGAAGAAGCACCGGCUAACUCCGUGCCAGCAGCCGCGGUAAUACGGAGGGUGCGAGCGUUAAUCGGAAUAACUGGGCGUAAAGGGCAUGCAGGCGGUUACUUAAGUCAGAUGUGAAAGCCCCGAGCUUAACUUGGGAAUUGCAUUUGAAACUGGGUGACUAGAGUCCUCUAGGGAGGGGUAGAAUUCCACGUGUAGCGGUGAAAUGCGUAGAGAUGUGGAGGAAUACCGAAGGCGAAGGCAGCCCCUUGGAGAGAGACUGACGCUCAUAUGCGAAAGCGUGGGGUAGCAAACAGG
RNAcentral lists this ribosomal RNA (762 nucleotides) under uncultured bacterium. Its description in RNAcentral is "bacterial SSU rRNA". It matches the Rfam family "Bacterial small subunit ribosomal RNA", at positions 28 to 776 of the family's 1533-position model. The record is from RNAcentral.